Molecule: transfer RNA, 67 nt
Filed under: Marmota monax (woodchuck)
Lineage: Eukaryota; Metazoa; Chordata; Mammalia; Rodentia; Sciuridae
Description: tRNA.Ala
Source: RNAcentral
GGUUGUGGCUUAGUGGUAGAGCACUGACCUAGCAUGUGUGAGGUACUAGGUUCAAUCCUCAGCACCA